AUAUCAGGUGGUUACUGAGGGCCCUUCUGACAAAAACACCAGACACAGUACUGCUACUAACACCAGCACAUGGAGCAGUUUUUCAGUCUCCAUUAUUUUACAUUAACUUUAGGAAUUUGUAGUGUCACCAUAGGUACAGUAUUAGUUUUCCAGAGGAGAGCUCUCUUCUCUUUAAAAUAUCUUUCAAGAGAUGUCCUGAAAUAUCAUAGGGCUGAGAGAACCAUUGUAUAUAAAUAAUGGUCCUAACAUAAAUUCAGAAGUAACUAUAUUAGUGAAAAAACA
RNAcentral lists this long non-coding RNA (282 nucleotides) under Bos taurus (domestic cattle). RNAcentral describes it as "long non-coding RNA NONBTAT013941". The record is from RNAcentral. Lineage: Eukaryota; Metazoa; Chordata; Mammalia; Artiodactyla; Bovidae.